Molecule: long non-coding RNA, 808 nt
Filed under: Homo sapiens (human)
Lineage: Eukaryota; Metazoa; Chordata; Mammalia; Primates; Hominidae
Description: HSALNT0294135
Source: RNAcentral
AUUGUCUCCUCCACAGACAUCUAUGGGGGUCUGAUCCAAGCAGGGCUGUGGUCAUUGCUCCCUGGACACUGCAUUGCAUAUGAGAUAGAGGGUCUGCUAAGCCAGCUGCUGAAGGAAGACUUUAUUUCCCAGGGGAAAUUCUAGCACAUCUGGGGCACUGUGGUCCUCACACUUGGUUUGGAUUCUCUUCCUGAUGACGGACGUCUGCUUUCUGGCAAGGAUGAAGACGCCAAGGCAAUGACACCUGACAGUCAUAUAGCUGAUAAGGAACAGCGCCAGGACCCAGAGCCAGGCAGUGUGACUGAGCAAGAGUCUGUGCUUUUAACGACUAGGUUUUGCUAGCCCAAAGCACAUACUUGAUACACGUUGCUGAGAAGCAUGAGGCACUACAAUUGGACUUGAUGAAGGGAAAUAAAUAUCAUACAGAGAGUUGUUCAGGACAUUGCGAGAAUCAUGCCACUGAAUGCUGGUGGGGCAGCCUCUGACUGGGGAGGGGUGACCACAGAUGGGAGAGAUACAUUAUGGUAAGCAGUGGUUUCCAUUGUAUGCUCUGAGCAGCCAAGCACUACCCUGUUCUCCUUUCCCUAUCCAUUGAAAGCAGACUCUAUCUUCUUGCCCAGAAAGAUGAGAAAGUAUCCCCACCUGCACUGAUCAUAGGAAUUAGGUACUCUGCUUCUAUCAAAAUCCCUCAGUGGAACUGGGAAAGUUAAAACUUUUUUUUUUUUCUCCUUGGUCACUAAACUGGAAUGAAGUUUAUUCAGAGCUGCUGUUGAUCACUGAUUCCUCAUUUAACCACUUUCCAAUCCCA